Small nucleolar RNA from Pteronotus mesoamericanus, 130 nucleotides. RefSeq annotates it as small nucleolar RNA SNORA63. The transcript has a single exon. The record is from RefSeq and is a predicted model, not a curated record. Lineage: Eukaryota; Metazoa; Chordata; Mammalia; Chiroptera; Mormoopidae.
AAGCAGGAUCCAGUUACAAGGUAGCUGUGAGGUGCUGCGUUGUCUUUGUCCCUGCUCAAAACAAAGCUGUUUCCUGCCUAGCCCUGCCGGCCUGGAGCUGUAGCCGUCAGGGAUGCAUGGUCUCACACAC